UACGGGGGGAGCAAGCGUUGUUCGGAUUUACUGGGCGUAAAGGGCGCGUAGGCGGCCACCGCAAGUCGGUUGUGAAAUCUCUGGGCUUAACCCAGAAAGGUCAACCGAUACUGCGGGGCUAGAGUGCAGAAGGGGCAACUGGAAUUCUCGGUGUAGCGGUGAAAUGCGUAGAUGUCGAGAGGAACACCUGCGGCGAAGGCGGGUUGCUGGGCUGACACUGACGCUGAAGCGCGAAAGCUAGGGGAGCGAACGGG
This 254-nucleotide ribosomal RNA is filed under the name uncultured bacterium. RNAcentral's name for it is "partial 16S ribosomal RNA". It matches the Rfam family "Bacterial small subunit ribosomal RNA", at positions 524 to 776 of the family's 1533-position model. The record is from RNAcentral.